UUUUGAGUAGUAUAUGAUUAGACCAGGAAACUUAAAGAAUUUGGCGGUAUAUAUUCUGAUUAGAGGAAUAUGUUUUUUAAUUGAUACUCCACAAAUAUCUUACUUAAAUUUAUUUAUUUUGUAUAUCUCCGUCUUAAAAAGAUUUUUUAAAAUAUUUUUUAUAUUUUAUAAUUUAAAAUAAGUCAGGUCAAGGUGCAGAUUAUAUUUAAGAUAAAAUGUAUUACAAUAAAUUUAUUUUCGGAUUAAAGAUUAAAUUGGUCUUAUAAAGUUGGAUUUAUAAGUAAGUUUUUUUAUAUAAAAAUUAAUUGAAUUAUGUUAAUAUAUAUGUACACAUC
RNAcentral lists this ribosomal RNA (335 nucleotides) under Psocidus sp. KY360. RNAcentral's name for it is "partial 12S ribosomal RNA". Lineage: Eukaryota; Metazoa; Arthropoda; Insecta; Psocodea; Psocidae. The record is from RNAcentral.